This 94-nucleotide microRNA precursor is filed under the name Macaca mulatta (Rhesus monkey). RNAcentral's name for it is "microRNA mml-mir-423 precursor". Its record names the gene mml-mir-423. The stretch from base 5 to 85 matches the Rfam family "mir-423 microRNA precursor family". Lineage: Eukaryota; Metazoa; Chordata; Mammalia; Primates; Cercopithecidae. The record is from miRBase by way of RNAcentral. RNAcentral also lists the same sequence under 3 other names.
AUAAAGGAAGUUAGGCUGAGGGGCAGAGAGCGAGACUUUUCUAUUUUCCAAAAGCUCGGUCUGAGGCCCCUCAGUCUUGCUUCCUACCCCGCGC